CUGCAUUAUCGAUAAUAUCGGCCAGCUCUGUUGAUGGGACAUCUUGCUCGCCAAAGGUCCCAUCUGUCAUUUUCGAUUUUUGUUUACAAAAUUGCACAUGGGACCUUUGGCAUGCAAGCGAGCUCUCACAGUAAUUUUGAGUUAAAUUAAUAAAAAUGGAUCCUACUCAAGACCAAUUCCGGAUGUUCAUACAAGCAGCAUCACGUCGAAGCCAAAGAUCCGCUGGCAGCAGUCACUAUGGUAGUCAACCUGCACCUCCGCAGAAAGAUGAUUCGUGCGAUGAAAAAUUCAAGCUACGGGAGAGUUGCAAAUGCCGAACCUGCACCUUCAAAAAAGGAUAAUUCAGUUUUUAAGCUCUCUAAGAGGAAAAGCGCUGAGUCGCCACGGAGCUGGAAGGAGCGCACUGGAACUUUUCAAAAUGUUUCAGGUCAGGAUGUGUCAUCAGUGUCUACCAAAUCAGCACGGCGCUCGUUGAAUUUCGAUAGUUUGCGUCCAAAUUAACUGCAGGACAGGUCAACAAUCCUUCAAAAACAGCAGCAUUCAUCGUGUUCCGUUUCAUGAGAUGAAAAUUUCAAGCUACGGGAAUGUUGCAAAUGCCCGUACAACGGAUUGGAUUUUGCAACAGAAUCACGCAAAGUACAACAGAUGUAGGUUAACAGUUUUAUCCAACACUCGAGUCAAAAGCAGCAAUCUCUCCUCUACAGUAGCCACGCCACCCAUAUAUCGAUCUUCGAAGUCUCACUCUGCAUCCAUCAAAGGAAAUGAUAAAUCACUGAGAAAACUGAUCAGUGAUUCAACGGCUACAGAAGAAAUUAUCGAUCUUGAUUCGAUUUCCAGUUACUGUAAAGAAAACGUCGUUAAAGCAAGUCACCAGCAGUAUCGAAAAAAGGUUAUUGAAGAAAGAGAGCAGAUCAGCCCAAGCCUGGCUUC
Long non-coding RNA from Aedes aegypti (yellow fever mosquito), 930 nucleotides. RefSeq lists it as uncharacterized. The record is from RefSeq and is a predicted model, not a curated record. NCBI's taxonomy places the organism in Eukaryota, Metazoa, Arthropoda, Insecta, Diptera, Culicidae. The transcript is spliced from 4 exons.